AAGUCGUAACAAGGUCUCCGUAGGUGAACCUGCGGAGGGAUCAUUACUGAGUUCCGGGUCUAACCGACCCGACCUCCAACCCUAUGUUGUCCGACUCUGUUGCCUCGGGGGCGACCCUGACCCCACGGGUCUCCGGUCCCCCCCGGUGGACAUAUAAACUCUGCGUUGACAUGUCGUCUGAGUCUAUUGAUUAAAUCAUAUCAAAACUUUCAACAACGGAUCUCUUGGUUCUG
This 233-nucleotide unclassified non-coding RNA is filed under the name Ramimonilia apicalis. RNAcentral's name for it is "partial internal transcribed spacer region". The stretch from base 1 to 46 matches the Rfam family "Eukaryotic small subunit ribosomal RNA", at positions 1786 to 1831 of the family's 1831-position model. The record is from RNAcentral. Lineage: Eukaryota; Fungi; Ascomycota; Dothideomycetes.